AUGAAUGCACUGAGAGCAGCUCACAAAGAGGAGAUGGAGAAGGUCAUGAAGUUGUCUGGAGGAGAUUCAUCAUACAGAGAGCACAUGCCUCGGUCUGCAACGUUAAACAGUGAAUCAGAUUUAUUAUCGCAACACUAUUCUUCGACCUGCCUGGAGUUCAGCUCUAAGCAAACCUACAGGAGCCAUGACAACAACCUCAGGCCCACGGAGAGUGAGCUGGUGAAGCUCAGAAGAGAAAACCAGGUGUAUACACAAGGCUUAGUGUUUUUUUUAUUAAAAACUUAGUCAUUAGAAAUGGGUUUUUAUUAUCAAUAUCAUAAGAUGUAUUAAUAUUUAUAGGGAGUCCUUACAUAUUUGUGAAAAUAUAAUUGUCUUUGAAAUAUGAUAUCUUUCUUCAGGAUCUUAAGGCCAAACUUGUAGAGGAAACCAGCCGCAUGCGCUGCUUCAUUACAGGUCAAAGAAUGGACAUGGUGUGUCAAAACAGAGCUGAGCACACUGUGUCAGAAGUAGAGGUACUGACAAUAAUUUGCUGUUGAGAUAUGCAACUUCAUGUCAUUGGAAUAAAAAUGUGAAUUUAAUGUCUAUAAGACAUGAGUGCAGCUGAAGCCUCUUUAUUAAUGCACCCGAAUUACUUUGGCCACAGGGAGAAAAUGUCACUGCUGUAAAAAGCUAAAUUUGGCUGAAUGUGUUAUGGGAUUUUAAACCCUUUCUAAAACAUUGUUGCAGCAUUUCAGGCCUUUGUCUUUUAUCCUAAUUAGUUGGUCCCUAUAGUAACUGCAGAGAUUCAUUUUUUAUUUGGCCUCACCCUGUCACACCGAGUAUUUGCAGACAGGGCCAUCUACUGACUAUCAAACACAUUCCACAAUAGUUUUCUUUACCUUUUACAUCAUUAUUUAUUGAUUUACAGUAUUCUGCGUGACUCGGUUUCUGCAUGUGAAUAGAGGUCUGUUUGUACCAGUAUUUAUUUAAAAGUGACAAUUCAAUAUGUAAUAAAAUUUCAUUUUAUUUUAUUGAUGAAGUCAUGUAUUAUAUUCCAGAUGCUACUAAGAGCAAAAGAGAAUGAAGUGGUCCAUCUUAAAAAAGAAAUCAGCUGCUUGCAGAGUGAGAUACAAUCUCUCAAAGGUAUGUUUCAUAACUUGAACUAUUAUGCCAUAAAAUUAGUAAAACCAGUUGAAUGUCACAGUUUGUACUGACAUGUGUGCUUUUCUGUUUAAACCCUGGCUCUAGGAAAAUGGGGCAGUCUUUGACAAUGCUGAACUUCAGGAAACAGUUGCAAGACAAAGCUGAGCAACAAUGACCUUUACAUUUAACGCAAAAUAAGGGCAAAAAAUGUGCACUUACAAAAACACAUGAAAUACUUUUUUAUCCAUAUGUAAUUUAUUUUAUUUAGAUAGAUGACCAAAUGGAAACAGGAGUGAUGGUGUAUCUAGUAGUUGAUGUUGUAGCUACACAUAGUAUUAGAGUUUACAAUUAUUUCUAAAAAGAAAACCCGCAAAAAAACAUGA
Cynoglossus semilaevis (tongue sole) is the source of this 1505-nucleotide long non-coding RNA. RefSeq lists it as uncharacterized. Lineage: Eukaryota; Metazoa; Chordata; Actinopteri; Pleuronectiformes; Cynoglossidae. The transcript has 2 exons. The record is from RefSeq and is a predicted model, not a curated record.